CCUACGGGAGGCAGCAGUGAGGAAUAUUGGUCAAUGGACGAGAGUCUGAACCAGCCAAGUAGCGUGAAGGAAGAAGGCUUUCGGGUUGUAAACUUCUUUUCUCAGUGACGAAGCAAGUGACGGUACCUGAGGAAUAAGCCACGGCUAACUACGUGCCAGCAGCCGCGGUAAUACGUGGGUGGCAAGCGUUAUCCGGAUUUACUGGGUUUAAAGGGCGUGUAGGCGGGACUGCAAGUCAGAUGUGAAAAACAUGGGAUCAACCUAUGUCCUGCAUUUGAAACUGUCGUUCGUGAGUACGGGAGAGGCAGACGGAAUUCGUAGUGUAGCGGUGAAAUGCGUAGAUAUUAGGAGGAACACCAGUGGCGAAGGCAGUCUGCUGGACAGCAACUGACGCUGAGGCGCGAAAGCGUGGGGAGCAAACAGGAUUAGAUACCCCUGUAGUC
This 443-nucleotide ribosomal RNA is filed under the name uncultured bacterium. Its description in RNAcentral is "partial 16S ribosomal RNA". It matches the Rfam family "Bacterial small subunit ribosomal RNA", at positions 338 to 795 of the family's 1533-position model. The record is from RNAcentral.